AAGUCGUAACAAGGUUUCCGUAGGUGAACCUGCGGAAGGAUCAUUAACACAAUACUUUCUUAUCAACCUAGGUGCAUCCGUCUGACCCUUUUUAUUCAGAGGUCGGCUAGACAAUGGUUGGAUACGUUCGGUCUAGUCUGCUGUUGAAGUUAGCCCGUCUUCCUCGGAAGGCGAUCGGUCUGACGCUCUGCUUAAGAAGGUGAUACAGUCUUGACCAUGACUGGCCCAUUUUUUUUUUUUCAAACCUUUGUUUAUUGUACUGAUUUGGGCUUCGGAUCGAGAGGAGCAAUCCUUUCUCUGCCAGCUUUUGAUGGAGCAAUCCAUUCAAUUAACCAAAACACAACUCUUAACAGUGGAUAUCUCGGUUCUC
RNAcentral lists this unclassified non-coding RNA (370 nucleotides) under fungal sp. Its description in RNAcentral is "partial internal transcribed spacer region". The stretch from base 1 to 46 matches the Rfam family "Eukaryotic small subunit ribosomal RNA", at positions 1786 to 1831 of the family's 1831-position model. The record is from RNAcentral. Lineage: Eukaryota; Fungi.